CCCCGCUCUGCAGCAUCCUGCAACAGAACAGGAAUCCAUACCAGCUCCAGAAUUCUCCCCUGCGGGCAGCUUCCGGCCUCAGAGAAACAAAGUAGGGGGGAUUGCGAAGGAUCAGCACCUCUUCUGGGGCGAACAGAAGGGGGGGGUCUGGUGUAGAUUUAUCUGCUCCUUCCCUCCAUGGAAAUUCAUCAGCGAGCACUGCCUUACGUCCCUCUCACAGGGUUUCUUUCCCAGGAGCCGCAGACAACGGUGGUUCUGAACUUCUUAUCAUCCCAAACCAACUCAGACAACAAGAUUUCCACAGUAACUGCUUUGCAGUGCUCAGACCUUCAACAUGGGAGCAGAGAUGCCAAAGCUUGUUCCCUCAAAACAGAAGGUGUCCUAAUUAUUAAAAGGAAUGGCCUUCCUGCCUGUGAUGAUCUGUCUAUUUGUGUAUAAAAUCCUACAACUGUGAAAGGCCUCGUGCACCGCAAAAGGGAAAGGGGGGAGAGAAAAGAAAAAAAAAAAAAUCAAAGUGCUCAGUCAAGAUACAUCAGAGAGAUUACACAAGAAGAGAAGCAUAGUUUUCGAGCCCCCAGAAUUCUUGACCAAAGAAGUAGUUAGUCCCAGGUCUACAUCAAAAGAAAGCGGCAUUCUGUGUCAUUGCUAAGACAUUUCUGUGAUGUUUUGCCCUUAGUCUCGGAGGAAUCAAAAGUCACAUUAAAAAAAAGGGCGGGGGGGGGGGGAAUAGACUAUCCCUUUAAAAUUAGAUCAUCGCUCUGUAUUAAUAUGCAGAAUGAGUUGUCAAUUGACCGAGCAACAAAUGUACUUCCUCAUAUCCUCAUUUUCACUUCUAUCUAUGAAUAUUUUAAAACCCUAAUGUGUGCCUGGCCAUUUGGGUUUUAAGCGAAGACUUAUCACAGUGUAAAACCCUUCAUUUUUAUCCCUUAGCGGAGGGCUUCUUUUUCCUUUUUCCAGGGUGUCAUUAAAAAUCUGAUGCCAAGAGCCGGGACUUGGCAAGGUUUGCAAUAUAAUUUGCAAUCUGCAGUGUUUGCUGGCUAGCCCCCACCUGCCCCCCCCCUCUUUUUUUUUUUUUCCCCCUUACCAGCCUGCCCGCUAGAGUCAAUAGGGGGCAUCGCUCAUCUGUCUAAAAGAAAAAUAGCAGCAUACUAAUUAGAAUUCUAUUUGCCAGAAGCCUCGGAGUUGCUGUGCUUAUAGAUUUCAAGCUUCUUUUGUUUGAAUUAAAUUGCCAACUUUUUUUUUUUCUUCCUUCUUUGCAGUAGCAUGAGAGAGCGG
Molecule: long non-coding RNA, 1275 nt
Organism: Lutra lutra (Eurasian river otter)
Lineage: Eukaryota; Metazoa; Chordata; Mammalia; Carnivora; Mustelidae
Exons: 4
Source: RefSeq, a predicted model, not a curated record